AGAGUUUGAUCAUGGCUCAGAUUGAACGCUGGCGGCAGGCCUAACACAUGCAAGUCGAGCGGUAGAGAGAAGCUUGCUUCUCUUGAGAGCGGCGGACGGGUGAGUAAUGCCUAGGAAUCUGCCUGGUAGUGGGGGAUAACGUUCGGAAACGGACGCUAAUACCGCAUACGUCCUACGGGAGAAAGCAGGGGACCUUCGGGCCUUGCGCUAUCAGAUGAGCCUAGGUCGGAUUAGCUAGUUGGUGAGGUAAUGGCUCACCAAGGCGACGAUCCGUAACUGGUCUGAGAGGAUGAUCAGUCACACUGGAACUGAGACACGGUCCAGACUCCUACGGGAGGCAGCAGUGGGGAAUAUUGGACAAUGGGCGAAAGCCUGAUCCAGCCAUGCCGCGUGUGUGAAGAAGGUCUUCGGAUUGUAAAGCACUUUAAGUUGGGAGGAAGGGUUGUAGAUUAAUACUCUGCAAUUUUGACGUUACCGACAGAAUAAGCACCGGCUAACUCUGUGCCAGCAGCCGCGGUAAUACAGAGGGUGCAAGCGUUAAUCGGGAUUACUGGGCGUAAAGCGCGCGUAGGUGGUUUGUUAAGUUGGAUGUGAAAUCCCCGGGCUCAACCUGGGAACUGCAUUCAAAACUGACUGACUAGAGUAUGGUAGAGGGUGGUGGAAUUUCCUGUGUAGCGGUGAAAUGCGUAGAUAUAGGAAGGAACACCAGUGGCGAAGGCGACCACCUGGACUAAUACUGACACUGAGGUGCGAAAGCGUGGGGAGCAAACAGGAUUAGAUACCCUGGUAGUCC
Molecule: ribosomal RNA, 793 nt
Filed under: uncultured bacterium
Lineage: Bacteria
Description: bacterial SSU rRNA
Rfam family: Bacterial small subunit ribosomal RNA
Source: RNAcentral